AGAAAGCAGGAAGCGGGCCGCAGCCAACGUGCGGCGCCCGCACCGCUCGCGGCUCUUGAAAAAAAGAGAAGGGGAGAAGAAACAAGAAGAAUGCGAGAAGAGAGAGGAAAGAAGGAUACAGCUGCAUGCAAAGCGCAAAGCGCGUAGCGUGGAGUCGAAACACCAGUAACUCAUUGUGUGUGUUUAUUUGAGGUUUGCGUUAGGAGAGCGCAUUGGGGAGAGGUGGGCGGUGGGGUGGGGUUGUUUGCAAGUGGUCUCCAACACCCCAGCAGUUAGAAAGAGAGUUGAAAACAUCUGGCGAAAUCCCUUUGCAGCCCGGGAACUGCUGGGGAACCCGGAAGGCGUGCGUUGCGCCCCUGCUACCUCAGCGGCUCCAGCGUUCGGGAUCCUAUCCGAGAUUAAGAGAAAGGGAGUGCUUCCCUUUGUGGGGGGAAGGAGGGGUGCGCGCAGGGUUGGGGGGGUGUUUCAACUUGUCAGAAUUCCUUGGUCCAAUAUCCCAAGAACUUUUGUGCCAACUUCACUCUGAUUCGCCGCCCCUGCCCCUCCCUGGGCCCCUGACCCGGCGCUGACUCUAGGCUGAGCGCAGUGGCGAGGAGAUUCGGAGCACCCCAGCAGUUGCGCCAAAGACAAGAGCCCCAUCCAUAUGGGGUCGAGGAUGUGCGGUUUUCGUGGUGAAGAGGAAAGAAUGAAGUUGAAGGGAUAGAUAAACACGUGCACUGAAUCCCCAGUAAAUUCCCUAACGGUUCCAAGCAGCCUCUGUGGCCACAGGAUGGCAGGAGGGCCCAGCAGGCCCGGGCGCAGUCGCUGUCUACUGCUGCCUGCGAAGGGCCCGCCAGAGUUCCAGAAGGAGGACGCCGAACCCACAGUCUCUGAGCCACUGGGGGCCUCCCCUAGUCUCUGCCCUCCCCCUCGCCUUCCACAGGGCUGUCCCCAUUGCUGCCUGCCGGCGCUCCGCAGUCAAGGGCGGCCUGUGUGCCGACCCGGAGCGCUUUCACCUCCCGGAGCGGCAGCAGAUCCCGGGGGCGGCUGCUGUGCUCCCUGGGGCCUGCUCCCGAGGCGCGCGCAGCCGGCCCGCGGGCGAGGGGGAGGAGAGGGCGGGAGCAUGGGGGUGCGACCCCAAAUCACAUCGGCUUGGCGGGGGAGGAUUCCCUCCUCGGUGGCCGCGUGGGCGCGGUGAAUCCCUCGUCCCCUCCUGGGGAGUCGGGGUUGGGGGAACGUGCAUUUCUCGGGGGGAGUGGGAGUGUUGACAAGGAAGAAGAGAGGAUCCCCGGGCCUCACGCCGUGGGAGGGCCACGCGGGCCGGGGACGUGUGGGAGGAACUCCCGAGCUGCACGUUGUGGUGGAGGUGGAUGACAACCUCGCUCCCCUCCCCUCCCCUCCACUCAGUGGAGGGCUGGGGACCGGAGGGCCCGGCCUCCCCCCAUCUUCUCCAGUUCUUAGGAAAGGAGGGAUUCCCGCCUCCCGCGAGCCCCCUCUCUCCACCCCCGCCGCCUCUCCCGCCAGGCUCCCCACUCCUAUACUAGGGAGCCACAGCGCCCCCCGGGCUGUCCUCCGCCAGCGCGGCUCAGGGAGGGAGAGCGCUGCAGCGGUCCCGCGCUCCGGUCAGAAUCAGGGCAGGCUGCGCCUCCCGCCCCCGGCUCCCUCCCUUAGGGGGGGCGCGCGGCCGGUCGGGGGGCGUGGGCGGCGGUGUGAGCCGGGCUAGGUGCGGGAGGGGCCCGGGCGGCUGCGGGGAGGGUCGCAGGGCGGCGGGCCAAGCCGGGAAGAGCCAUACAAGGAGCGGAUCCGGUGACGCGCCGGCCGCGCCCCUUCUCCUUCUCGAUUUGGCUGCAGAUUCCGGUCCCAAGAUUUGCAUAUUUUGGCAUCCAGUGGAAAAGGAAAGAAGAACGGAACCCGCAGCCUUUAAAGGAACCGCACAGGCUGUAGCGUCACCCAGGGAGGCGGUGGGGGUGGGGGUGGGGGCCUGAAAAAUUAGCCAGCGGCUCUGGCCUCUGGCCGUAGAGCCCGGCAGCAGGGAGGGCCAGGGAGGGGCGGCAACCAGCGAGCUUCGGGCGCGCCAGUCCCAGACCUGGCCCCUCCAGAGUGCUUCCUGCUGCGCGUGCACCCGGAGGCUGCGGAGGGUCUCCACGGGUUCCUGCCUGGGGCCGGGAGACGCUGUGGGGUCCGCGGUCCUGGGCGAGCUGCAGGCCCGAAGGCUGCAGUGCCCAUGUCUCCCCGCGCGAGGCAGAGCUCAGCCUGCGGGGGUGGUGGGAAGGAAGUGAGAGGCCUCCGGGCCGCCCAGCUCAACUCCGGAGGACCCCACCGUGAUGCACCCACUUUCCACCUGUCAGGAUCUCUCCCCAGGAGGGGCUGCAGAGUGAGGAGCUAGAAGCCCUUAUCCUGUUCGACUGGGGCCUGAGUUGGGAAAGGCAGAGGCAGUGGAAGCAUUUGGGAUCCUUAAGCUUCCAGGGCCCCAGAGGCUGUGGAGUGCAGCCACUCCCAACUGGAGGAGACGGCCUCUCUCCCAACACUUUUCGGCACGCUGGACUUGUUGCUUCCAAGUAGAAGAGCAUGGGGCAAGGUUUGCUGACCUGCACCAGGGCUUGCUUACCCGUCAGCAAGAUUGGAUAGGAGUCUGGGGACACGAUUCCUUCCCUCUCCUUUCUACUAGUUCUUUGCAUAAAACGGGAGCCUUCAAUUCAAUUAAAGUCUUCAUUAAAGCUUCACUGUGACCUUGGGCAAACGUCUGUUUUUUUUUUCUUAGCCUCAGUUUCCUUGUCUGUAAAUUGGGAUAAUAGUAUCUACCCCUUAGGAAUAAUUAAAUUAGAUAAUCCUCAUAGAGUACUUGCCAGUCCCUUAAGCAAGCACCCGAUAAACUGCAAUUGUUGUUAAACUAUUCUUCCCCACCCAGCCUUGUGACAGAUAUGCCCUUCCCUCUCGUGUGUGGCAGGAGUAAAUUUAGAUGAUAUAGGUAGUAAAAAAGGCCAGGUAUGGAACUCCAUCACAGACCAGCGUGAUCAUAUGCAAGAAGUAUUAAUAAUGUUGAUUAUUUAGGGGGGGAAACGAAAUCUGUGUGCCUAGUAUCUCCUGGGCACUGUCCCAAUCCAGGGAUGGUUAAGGAAUGGUCCCCGGUCUGAAGGAGCCCAGACAUGAACUGAGCUGAGCCCUCAACAGCUGGUGGUGACACAAGGCAGGGUUCAAAGAAGUCACUCAGUUGCUCUCUAACACUCUGGAGCAGCCUUUCAGACAUCUUUUGGGGGUGGUGUGGCUCCUGGAAUGGGAGGGAGCCUUCUUUCCUCUGCUGGAAGGAACCAUGCUGGCGAAUGCCUGCCCUACAAGGUUAGGCCCUCAGUGCCCAGUGCCUGUUCAGGUUGCAGCCUGCAAAGAUGUCCCCUGUCAUCCUCGAUGAUGGUGGCAGAUGGAGUCCAGGGUUCUGUGGCAGGAGGGGACAACCCUGGGUGUGGAGCAGGAGUGGGGUGUUGGAGUGGCUGCUUUGUAAAUGAAUUCUCCCUUCCGGUUGCCAAGCCUUAGAAUAGAAAAAAGUUUUCCUCCUUCCCUUCCUCCCUCCUGGUUUCCUCCCUCCUGGUUUCCUCUCUCCCUCCUGAACAGGAGCUGAAGGUGUUUGUCUGUUUUAUUGGCGGGCUCAGGUGAGAUUGCCAAGGGCCUAAUUACCUGAACUCUAAGCCCUGAACUUGCUGGGGAGCGAGUAGGCACUGAUUCAGGGCGUCCUCAUCCUGGAGAUGGUGAAAGGCAGGCCGGCUCCUCUGCAGCAGAGCCAGGGCUGCCAGCCCCUGGCCGCUCUCUCCUAUGGAGUCCAACUCAUCAGCUGCACUUAUGGGGA
Molecule: long non-coding RNA, 3817 nt
Filed under: Homo sapiens (human)
Lineage: Eukaryota; Metazoa; Chordata; Mammalia; Primates; Hominidae
Description: non-protein coding lnc-CCAR2-3:1
Source: RNAcentral